GUCCUUAGUUACCUAGCACGUUAUGGUGGGCGACUCUAAGGAGACUGCCGGUGACAAACCGGACGGAAGGUGGGGAGUGACGUCAAGUCAUCAUGGCCCUUACGGCCUGGGCUACACACGUGCUACAAUGGUCGGUACAAAGGGUUGCCAAGCCGCGAGGUGGAGCUAAUCCCAUAAAACCGAUCGUAGUCCGGAUCGCAGUCUGCAACUCGACUGCGUGAAGUCGGAAUCGCUAGUAAUCGUGAAUCAGAAUGUCACGGUGAAUACGUUCCCGGGCCUU
Molecule: ribosomal RNA, 280 nt
Filed under: uncultured Pseudomonas sp.
Lineage: Bacteria; Pseudomonadati; Pseudomonadota; Gammaproteobacteria; Pseudomonadales; Pseudomonadaceae
Description: partial 16S ribosomal RNA
Rfam family: Bacterial small subunit ribosomal RNA
Source: RNAcentral